AUGGAUGUUCCAAUCAUAUCAAAUGGACUUAGCAAUGGUGGGUUAGGAGGACCUGGCGCCUACUUUUUAAGCAGUAGGAAAGUACUGAAGGAUUCUACAGAGCAGCUGGAGAAUACAAAGGGAAUGGAACUAAGGAGGAUCUGGAUUGAGCAUCCUAUACCUGUUGUGCUGCAAAUUACUGGAACUGAGAUAUAUGCAAUGAUGAAACCUGGAGGAGAAGUUGGUGCAAGACAAUUUGAUAUUUUCCGUAGGCUUGUGUAUUGUCAGGAUAAGAAGUUAUAUGCUCCUAGGUCAAUUUUGAGGCUGAGGAAGGUUCUUCAUCUAAGCUGGGCGGAGAGAGUGCUUAAUGGUGCAGCCGUACAGAUUAAUGAUGAAAUAAAAGCAAGUUUGGUUGGUUUGAACGGAAAAUUUGAUUUGAGGACUUGCAAUAUGAUAAUGGUUCCAGACAGAUCUGUAGAGGGGUAUUACAUUCUGUAUGUCUUCAAUAUGUUUACUCAUGUGGUCCAUGUGUUUGAUCCAUUAAACUCAUGGCAGCUUGAGACAACAUUGGAGAAGAAGCACUGGGCAAAAUAUAUGUUGUUGCUUAAUGGGAUGUCGUCCUUGAUAUCUCAGUUAUACCCCGGCUAUCAUGUUGAUGCUUCUAAAUGGAAAAUGAAAUGCCAUAAAGUGUUGGCGGACCGAGUGAAGAGGGGUGAUACUGCAUUCUAUGUUUUACUCAUCAUAUUGAGCUUCAGUGGGCAAGAGAUAAAGCACAUUCUUAACACGAAUUCUCUGGCAUUAUUCAAGCUUAAUGUGCUGCAGUGGUUGGGUAAAAUGGAUGUGAACAUAUCAAGUUUCCCAAGGGAAAUCAUACCAUGUUAA
RNAcentral lists this ribosomal RNA (861 nucleotides) under Triticum aestivum (bread wheat). Its description in RNAcentral is "partial small subunit ribosomal RNA". Lineage: Eukaryota; Viridiplantae; Streptophyta; Magnoliopsida; Poales; Poaceae. The record is from RNAcentral.